UACGUAGGUGGCAAGCGUUGUCCGGAUUUAUUGGGUUUAAAGGGUGCGUAGGUGGCCCUGUAAGUCAGUGGUGAAAUAUCUCAGCUUAACUGAGAGGGUGCCAUUGAUACUGCAGGGCUUGAGUACAGAUGAGGUAGGCGGAAUUGACGGUGUAGCGGUGAAAUGCAUAGAUAUCGUCAAGAACACCGAUAGCGAAGGCAGCUUACCAAGCUGUAACUGACACUGAGGCACGAAAGCGUGGGGAGCAAACAGGAUUAGAAACCCUUGUAGU
Molecule: ribosomal RNA, 271 nt
Filed under: uncultured bacterium
Lineage: Bacteria
Description: partial 16S ribosomal RNA
Rfam family: Bacterial small subunit ribosomal RNA
Source: RNAcentral